AGAGUUUGAUCCUGGCUCAGAGCGAACGCUGGCGGCAGGCUUAACACAUGCAAGUCGAGCGGGCGUAGCAAUACGUCAGCGGCAGACGGGUGAGUAACGCGUGGGAACGUGCCCUUUGGUUCGGAACAACACAGGGAAACUUGUGCUAAUACCGGAUAAGCCCUUACGGGGAAAGAUUUAUCGCCAAAGGAUCGGCCCGCGUCUGAUUAGCUUGUUGGUGAGGUAACGGCUCACCAAGGCUACGAUCAGUAGCUGGUCUGAGAGGAUGAUCAGCCACACUGGGACUGAGACACGGCCCAGACUCCUACGGGAGGCAGCAGUGGGGAAUAUUGGACAAUGGGCGCAAGCCUGAUCCAGCCAUGCCGCGUGAGUGAUGAAGGCCCUAGGGUUGUAAAGCUCUUUCGGCGGGGAAGAUAAUGACG
Molecule: ribosomal RNA, 422 nt
Filed under: uncultured Bradyrhizobium sp.
Lineage: Bacteria; Pseudomonadati; Pseudomonadota; Alphaproteobacteria; Hyphomicrobiales; Nitrobacteraceae
Description: bacterial SSU rRNA
Rfam family: Bacterial small subunit ribosomal RNA
Source: RNAcentral